AAUAUUGGACAAUGGGGGCAACCCUGAUCCAGCCAUGCCGCGUGCGUGAAGAAGGCCUUAGGGUUGUAAAGCGCUUUCACUGGUGAAGAUGAUGACGGUAACCAGAGAAGAAGCCCCGGCUAACUCCGUGCCAGCAGCCGCGGUAAUACGGAGGGGGCAAGCGUUGUUCGGAAUUACUGGGCGUAAAGGGCGCGUAGGCGGACGGUCAAGUUAGGGGUGAAAGGCCUGGGCUCAACCUAGGAACGGCCUUUAAAACUGGCAGUCUAGAGACCGGAAGAGGAUGGCGGAAUUCCUAGUGUAGAGGUGAAAUUCGUAGAUAUUAGGAAGAACACCGGUGGCGAAGGCGGCCAUCUGGUCCGGAUCUGACGCUGAGGCGCGAAAGCGUGGGGAGCAAACAGGAUUAGAUACCCUGGUAGUCCACGCCGUA
This 427-nucleotide ribosomal RNA is filed under the name uncultured marine bacterium. RNAcentral describes it as "bacterial SSU rRNA". It matches the Rfam family "Bacterial small subunit ribosomal RNA", at positions 360 to 804 of the family's 1533-position model. The record is from RNAcentral.